UAGCAACUUUCAGCAGUGGAUGUCUAGGCUCGCACAUCGAUGAAGAACGCUGCGAACUGCGAUACGUAAUGCGAAUUGCAAGAUUCAGUGAGUCAUCGAAAUUUUGAACGCAUAUUGCACUUCCGGACUAGUUUUGGA
RNAcentral lists this ribosomal RNA (138 nucleotides) under Plasmopara euphrasiae. Its description in RNAcentral is "partial 5.8S ribosomal RNA". It matches the Rfam family "5.8S ribosomal RNA", at positions 1 to 133 of the family's 154-position model. Rfam says of the family: 5.8S ribosomal RNA (5.8S rRNA) is a component of the large subunit of the eukaryotic ribosome. It is transcribed by RNA polymerase I as part of the 45S precursor that also contains 18S and 28S rRNA. The record is from RNAcentral. Lineage: Eukaryota; Oomycota; Peronosporomycetes; Peronosporales; Peronosporaceae.